UUUGUACUCCCUCCGUCCAGAAAUAUUUGUCCGCAGAAUGGGUGUAUCUAGAUGUAUUUUAGUUCUAGAUACAUCCAUUUGUAUCCAUUUUUACGACAAGUAUUUUCGGACGGAGGGAGUAUUCA
Molecule: non-coding RNA, 125 nt
Organism: Triticum aestivum (bread wheat)
Lineage: Eukaryota; Viridiplantae; Streptophyta; Magnoliopsida; Poales; Poaceae
Source: Rfam